UACGAAGGGGGCGAGCGUUGUUCGGAAUUACUGGGCGUAAAGGGCGCGCAGGCGGCUCUGAAAGUCAGAUGUGAAAGCCCCGGGCUUAACCUGGGAAUUGCAUUUGAUACUCUGGAGCUUGAGUACGGGAGAGGAGAGUGGAAUUCCCAGUGUAGAGGUGAAAUUCGUAGAUAUUGGGAAGAACACCGGUGGCGAAGGCGGCUCUCUGGACCGUAACUGACGCUGAGGCGCGGAAGCGUGGGGAGCAAACAGG
Molecule: ribosomal RNA, 253 nt
Filed under: uncultured bacterium
Lineage: Bacteria
Description: partial 16S ribosomal RNA
Rfam family: Bacterial small subunit ribosomal RNA
Source: RNAcentral